RNAcentral lists this ribosomal RNA (381 nucleotides) under uncultured bacterium. Its description in RNAcentral is "bacterial SSU rRNA". It matches the Rfam family "Bacterial small subunit ribosomal RNA", at positions 30 to 426 of the family's 1533-position model. The record is from RNAcentral.
CCUGAACGCUGGCGGCGUGACUAAGACAUGCAAGUCGCACGGGGUAGCAAUACCCAGUGGCGAACGGGAGAGUAAUGAAUCGCUAACGUACCCCGGACUCUGGGAUAGCCAACCGAAAGGUUGGGUAAUACCAGAUAAUACGACCUUGUCGCAUGGCAGGGUUUUCAAAGGUCCGCCGUCUGGAGCGGCGAUUUCGUAUCAGCUAGUUGGUGGGGUAACGGCUCACCAAGGCGACGACGCGAGCCGGACUGAGAGGUUGGCCGGCCUCAUUGGGACUGAGACACUGCCCAGACUCCUACGGGGGCUGCAGUAACGAAUCUUCCGCAAUGCACGAAAGUGUGACGGAGCGACGCCGCGUGUGGGACGAAGCCCUUCGGGUGU